UCUCGCCGUCUCUCUCUGUCUUUCACUAUCCGUUUCUCUCUAGCCGUCUCUCUCUAUCCGUCUCUCUCUAUCCGUCUCUUUCUAGCCGUCUCUCUCUAGCCGUCUCUAUCUGUUGUCUCUCUAUCCCCGUCUCUCUCUAGCCGUCUCUCUCUAGCCGUCUCUCUCUAGCCGUCUCUUUCUAGCCGUCUCUCUCUAGCCGUCUCUAUCUGUUGUUCUCUAUCCGUCUCUCUCUGUCUUUCACUAUCCGUUUCUCUCUAGCAAUCUCUCUCUGUUGUUCUCUAGCCGUCUCUCUCUAGCCCCGUCUCUCUGUUGUUCUCUUGCCGUCUCCUCUAGCCGUCUCUCUCUGUUGUUCUCUAUCCGUCUCUCUCUAUCCGUCUCUCUCUAUUGUUCUCUAUCCGUCUUUCUCUAGCCGUCUCUCUCUGUUGUUCUCUAUCCGUCUCUCUCUUGCCGUCUCCUCUAGCCGUCUCUGUUGUUCUCUAUCCGUCUCUCUCUGUUGUUCUCUAUCCGUCUCUCUCUAUCCGUCUCUCUCUAUCCGUCUCUCUCUAGCCGUCUCUCUCUGUUGUUCUCUUGCCGUCUCCUCUAGCCGUCUCUCUCUGUUGUUCUCUAUCCGUCUCUCUCUAUCCGUCUCUCUCUAUCCGUCUCUCUCUAGCCGUCUCUCUCUGUUGUUCUCUUGCCGUCUCCUCUAGCCGUCUCUCUCUGUUGUUCUCUAGCCGUCUCUCUCUAUCCGUCUCUCUCUAUUGUUCUCUUGCCGUCUCCUCUAUCCGUCUCUCUCUGUUGUUCUCUAUCCGUCUCUCUCUAUCCGUCUCUCUCUGUUGUUCUCUAUCCGUCUUUCUCUAGCCGUCUCUCUCUGUUGUUCUCUAUCCGUCUCUCUCUUGCCGUCUCCUCUAGCCAUCUCUGUUGUUCUCUAUCCGUCUCUCUCUGUUGUUCUCUAGCCGUCUCUCUCUGUUGUUCUCUAUCCGUCUCUCUCUGUUGUUCUCUAGCCGUCUCUCUCUGUUGUUCUCUAGCCGUCUCUAUCUGUUGUUCUCUAGCCGUCUCUCUCUAUCCGUCUCUCUCUAUCCGUCUCUCUCUGUUGUUCUCUAG
This is a long non-coding RNA of Oncorhynchus tshawytscha (Chinook salmon), 1080 nucleotides long. NCBI's taxonomy places the organism in Eukaryota, Metazoa, Chordata, Actinopteri, Salmoniformes, Salmonidae. The record is from Ensembl.